This 253-nucleotide ribosomal RNA is filed under the name uncultured bacterium. RNAcentral's name for it is "partial 16S ribosomal RNA". It matches the Rfam family "Bacterial small subunit ribosomal RNA", at positions 524 to 776 of the family's 1533-position model. The record is from RNAcentral.
UACGAAGGGGGCUAGCGUUGCUCGGAAUCACUGGGCGUAAAGCGCACGUAGGCGGAUUGCUAAGUCAGGGGUGAAAUCCUGGAGCUCAACUCCAGAACUGCCUUUGAUACUGGCGGUCUCGAGUCCGGGAGAGGUGAGUGGAACUGCGAGUGUAGAGGUGAAAUUCGUAGAUAUUCGCAAGAACACCAGUGGCGAAGGCGGCUCACUGGCCCGGUACUGACGCUGAGGCGCGAAAGCGUGGGGAGCAAACAGG